AUACUGUAUAUUUUAAAUAUACAAGAAAGGCUCUUUAAUUUUAACUUUUAUUCUUCCUCUUACCUAGGUCUGUGUGGCAGUGUAUUAGCAGACAUGGAAUCUCUUCUUUCUCAGCUACUAACACUGAUCAAAGCAAAAACGAAAACCACAGCAAAAAGUGUCGUUUUACCAAAAGUGCAGAAUGGUUAUCAGAUGAUCCAAACACUCGUGGAAUUGAACCUUUGUGCUUUGAAAGGAGGGGACUGUUCAGUUUACCAGAAGACUCUGAAGAACCUCGUAACGAGUGAAAGCAAAUUGGCCGGUGUUCUAAAUUCGCCGACUUCAAAAAAGGCAAACCCCAAAGCAGAUAUCCAGGACACCACCCUGCAAGUGUGUAACUCAUUCUUUGACGUGUUUGGAGAGAAGAGAUCUUGGGACAGUGUUUGGAUUGCCAUUGUUAGAUCCUUAGAGAAAAUCAUCAGCUGGGUCUGGGGAACGACGUACAACUAUGUCAACAAGAUGAAAGGUUGGAAAAUGAAUGUAAUUAAUUUAAUAAUGCUGCUAUGCAUAUGCAAUAAACUCUGGAAUUGCACAUAAUGAUUUAAAUGUUGUUUAAAAACUGCUUACUUUCUGCUUUAUGUAAAACAUUUUUCUGAAUAUCAUGAUCAGUGGCACAGGCGGGCAACAAUAAAACGAUCACAGGUAUCA
This 687-nucleotide long non-coding RNA is filed under the name Astyanax mexicanus (Mexican tetra). Its description in RNAcentral is "lncRNA (ENSAMXG00005017750.1)". The record is from RNAcentral. Lineage: Eukaryota; Metazoa; Chordata; Actinopteri; Characiformes; Acestrorhamphidae.